AUUCCUAUACACCAAUAACAGACAGUGAGCCAAAUCAUGAGGGAACUCCCAUUCACAACUGCUGCAAAGAUAAUAAAAUACCUAGUUAUACAACUAGCAACCAUGUAUUUUUUAUUCAAGAUUGGUUAAAUCUGCAGAUGCAGAUCCCUUGAAUUAGUAGCAAUUAUUAUUGCAGAUAAAACGAUUUAAAACUUCUAUUACCAAAUAAGAUAUCAUCCUAGAUAACUUUUAUAAAAAAGAUAUAUGAGUCAAAAAUGAUUUGGAGGAAGUUCAAAUAUAAAACUUUUUAAAUAUAAUUUUAAUUAUAUUAUAAACAUAUUUUUGAAAUAAGGUAUUAUUGGUCCUCGGUUGUCUACCAUUUCUCUAAUUUUUACAGAGAAGGCAAAGUAGCUAUUAAAGAAUUAAAGACUAGAAACAGGUUUAGAAAAAAAUUUCUUAAAGAGAUAAAUUAGCUAAAUGAAGAGUACAAAUGCAAACAAUUAUUCAGAUAGUGGUCAAACUCUUCCUUUUACUUUUAAGGAAUUAUCUAGAAGUUUUUUCUUGAAAAUGAGUACGGAUUUUGUUACAGAGUCCAUAUCUACUCUAACCGUUCCAUUUCUCCAUUUAGCAUUCAUAUUAUUGGACUUAAUCCUAUUGUUAGAGCAGAGGCAAACUUUAGCUUGAUGGAAUUUACUUGAAAUUUACAGAUAGUCACAUUUUGCUAACUUGCAUAAAAUUUUAGAUAAGGCAAAGCUUUCAGUUCAGAAAAAUCAAUCUAAUGUUUAAAUAGGUUAGUGUUUAUUUUGGUUGAUAGAGAAACUGGUAGGUAAAUUUUUGAUUAUGUCUCAGAAUUUAAAUAUAUUCAUAAAGACUGCUCUUUCCAGGGUCCCCAAGAAAUCAAAGGUGUAAAAAAGGAGGAAAUCUCAAUUAAACCUCAGUUCAAAAAUUUGAGGAAUUCUUAAUUUAUUACUAUUUUAAAUUAAGGUCUAUAAAGGCUUACUCAUAGUAAAGUAGAGAUUUGUGUUCUGCAAACGGCUCACAUAAAAAAUAUACAUUUCACAUAUCAUCUGACUUUAAGGCCAAAUUCAUUAUAUAAUCACAUUUAUCAAGAUUAUUGGGUACAUUACAAACUCAUCAGAAAGAGUGCUAAUAUGUCAAUUCAAUUUAAUAUUUGCUCUGUUCCUGCUGUAUGCUAGAUACUAUGCUCAGCACUGUGGGGGAUAAAAGAUGAAAAAAGUCUGUUCUAUUGCAGACUCAUAUUCUAUUGGGGAGUAUCAGAAGAAGAACUUACUGCUAGUUGAAGAGGUGAGAGAGACAUCAUUUUAUGCUUUUAAGAAAGAAGGUUUUCAGUAUGAAAAGGUGAAGGCAGCAACGUGGCAUGAGCAAAGGGACAACGUUGUGAAAGCAUCAGACAGAUUUUCAGGAGAAUGAGACACUCAAGUUAUUUCAGACUCAAAGUAGACGAUAGAUUGGGGUCAAAUCAUAGAAGCAUUUAAUACACUUUUGAGAUAUUUGAAAAUUACUCUGAAGAUAAUAGAAUGACGAUAAUAGAAUCAUUGAAGAUUUUAGACACAAAUGAAGUGAUUACAAUUGUCAUUUAGGAUGAUUACUCUAAAGGUCAUGUGCUGGUUGGUAGAAUAGCAAAGAUAUUGAAGGUAGGAAGAUAGAAGUGAUAAAAAUAAUCUGGUAAAGUAUAAUGGGGGCUUAAGUUACAAUCAGGGCUUCCACUUCAGGAAAAUAUAAGGAAGGUAGGAACAUAAAAUGCGACAGAGUGCACUGAUAAAACCAUAGCAACUGAAGCAAAGAGCAAGGAGGAAGCAGAAGUUAGUGAUGAAUAUGUGUCUGGGUGACUGGAAAGAUGGUAGUGGUGAUAUAAAUAAGAACCAUCGUAGAUAUGCGGAAAAAACGAAUUUAAUUUUGAGUUGAGUUGGAGAUACAAAGGGGUCAUCUAAAGAGAAAUGUUCAAAAAACAAUUAAAAAUGUGUCAUAGCUCAGGAAAUUGGAUGAAUCAAGAGAGAAAAAAUAAUGAGUCAUCUGCUUAGCAUUUAGGGCCAGGUGAAACUGAAAGAGGAUUGCGGAGGCAGAGUGCCUUCAAGCAUGUUUGCAUUUGGGACAAGAAAAUGAAAUAAAAUGGCUAAAAACAAGGCCAGAAAAAUAGGUCAUGUGUAAGAAAAGGCUUCAAAGAGGAGGAUACACAGAAUAGAACUUUUGAUUUUUCGAAUUCUUCUCCUUCACUCAUCUGAUCUCUUCUACAUCUGUGGUCCCCUCACUUCCCCCUACCUCCAAAUAUAUCAUUAAGUUCCGUAGAUUUUGUUUCCAAAAUACAGUUGACCCUUGAACAACAUGAGUUGGAACUGCUCAGGUACAUUUAUAUGCGGGUUUUCUUCUACUGCUGCCACCUCCGAGACAGCAAGACCAACCUCUCCUCCUGCUCCUCCUCAGCCUACUCACUGUGUGAUGACACUGAGGUUUAAGGUCUCUAUGAUCAUCCACUUCCAUUUAAUACAGAGUAAAUAUAUUUUCUCCUUUAUGAUUUUCUUAAUAACAUUUUCUUCUCUGAAGCUGACUUUAUUGUAAGAAUAAACUUUGUAAUACAUAAACAUAAAAUGUAUAUUGCUUGUUUAUGUUAUUUAAUGAGGCUUUCCAUCAAUAGUAGGCUAUUACUAGUUAAGACAUACCAGCCUGGGCAACAUGGCAAAACCCCAUG
This is a long non-coding RNA of Sapajus apella (tufted capuchin), 2686 nucleotides long. RefSeq lists it as uncharacterized. Lineage: Eukaryota; Metazoa; Chordata; Mammalia; Primates; Cebidae. The record is from RefSeq and is a predicted model, not a curated record. The transcript is spliced from 3 exons.